This 332-nucleotide ribosomal RNA is filed under the name uncultured eukaryote. RNAcentral's name for it is "partial 18S ribosomal RNA". It matches the Rfam family "Eukaryotic small subunit ribosomal RNA", at positions 1470 to 1796 of the family's 1831-position model. The record is from RNAcentral.
CCCUUAGAUGUUCUGGGCUGCACACGUGCUACACUGGCAGGUUCAGCGAGCUUCAUGCCCUGAUCUGAAAGGAAUGGGAAAUCUUUUCAAAACCUGCCGUGCUUGGGAUAGAUGUUUGCAAUUAUUCAUCUUCAACGAGGAUUGCCUUGUAAGCGCACGUCAUCAGCGUGCAUUGAAUACGACCCUGUAUUCUGUACACACCGCCCGUCGCUCCUACCGAGUGAAGUUUUCGGUGAGUUGACAGGAGGAUUUUUUUGAAACUGGUUCGCCAGUGGAUUUUAGAUCCAAAUGCCAACGAAUCGAUGGCUUUAGAGGAAGGAGAAGUCGUAACA